Molecule: ribosomal RNA, 465 nt
Filed under: uncultured bacterium
Lineage: Bacteria
Description: partial 16S ribosomal RNA
Rfam family: Bacterial small subunit ribosomal RNA
Source: RNAcentral
GACGAACGCUGGCGGCGUGCUUAACACAUGCAAGUCGAACGGAAAGGCCCUGCUUGCAGGGUCCUCGAGUGGCGAACGGGUGAGUAACACGUGGGUGAUCUGCCCUGCACUUCGGGAUAAGCCUGGGAAACUGGGUCUAAUACCGGAUAGGAGCCAUUUUUAGUGUGAUGGUUGGAAAGUUUUUUCGGUGUAGGAUGAGCUCGCGGCCUAUCAGCUUGUUGGUGGGGUAAUGGCCUACCAAGGCGGCGACGGGUAGCCGGCCUGAGAGGGUGGACGGCCACAUUGGGGCUGAGAGACGGCCCAGACUCCUACGGGAGGCAGAAGUGGGGAAUAUUGCACAAUGGGCGCAAGCCUGAUGCAGCGACGCCGCGUGGGGGAUGACGGCCUUCGGGUUGUAAACUCCUUUCGCUAGGGACGAAGCUUUUUGUGACGGUACCUAGAUAAGAAGCACCGGCUAACUACGUG